This 88-nucleotide small nucleolar RNA is filed under the name Choloepus hoffmanni (Hoffmann's two-fingered sloth). Its description in RNAcentral is "Small nucleolar RNA U3 (ENSCHOG00000015919.1)". Lineage: Eukaryota; Metazoa; Chordata; Mammalia; Pilosa; Megalonychidae. The record is from RNAcentral.
AAGACUAUACUUCAGAGAUCUUUUCUAUAGUUCGUUACUAGAGAAGUUUCUUUGACUGCCUAGGGCACCUAAAUUAUAAAUUGAACUG